UUUGCCGUCUCUUAAUUCUACACUGAAGAUUUUAAUAUUUUUGACCUGGGAUGUCAUUUAAGAUUUUCAUUAUUUUAUUACGAUGUAAAAAUUGAACUUCUGUCUUCAAAUUGGCGAUAAGAACAAGUCGUAGUAGUGUGGUGACAAAUCCCCAGUGGACUAGUUGUCGAUCAAUCGUCUAUCUUCUAGCUUUAUACAGAUGCCUUGCGUGCUCCAUUGUUGUACAAGAAUUUUUCUACAUCAAGUAGGACCAAGUAUCCACCUUCAUGUUUUUCGAUUCAUGUCGUCUUGGAUAAAAGUUGUAGGACAUACUGGCCAAAUUUUUUAAUUUGGUGCAUUUUCCAAGUUGCGAGUAAAGAAUCUGACAUUGGAUGCCAUUGGCCUUUGAAGCAAUCGAUGCUGCCAUGUCGCAAAGCUGCUUCGAAUAGAGCAGCAACUUUCUUCAGUCCUAAUAGCAAUCGAUUCUGAAAGCAAGACCACAUGAUUUUGGAGCCUUGGAGGAGCACGUCCAGUUUCAAGAUAAGUACAUUAAUUAAAAGUAUUGAAACUGUUGUAAUGUUCAAAUCUAAUGUAUUGUAUUUGAAUUUUUGUAAUUUGAAUAUCUAAUUUAGGAGAAUCGCCAAAUUAUCAGAUGAAUGGAUAUCCGUGUGUAGGAAAUGAUUUCCUAGUAUUUGAAAUAAAAUUCUGUCUUUCUCAACAUAGAAUUAAUUCGACUAUUUUUAAAAACUUAUUUUAACUUAUUUAAAAGCGUUUUAUUACGAGGAUGAUUUCAUGGCUAAUUAUAUUUGCCCCAAUUUCUGGCAUUAACAGUUCAUUAUCAGUGCCAGAAAUAAACAAUUGGUAGAUUUUAAGGCAGAGGCCCAAGUAUGUUAAUAUUUCGAUUGCAAUGAGCAGGAGUUUAUCAUCCCAGUAUUUUCAAUUUCCAUUUAGCAUUUUGCUUCUCGCUGACAUAGAAUAAAGAUGCCUUUUUAUAACUAAAUGAUAUCCGAGAUAAUGUCAACUUAAUCCUUUUAUGUGAUGUGAUGUGUGUCGCCGUUAUGAGAAAAAUAAAGAAACGAUAAAGCAUGUAGAACACGAUGGAUACUAAACUAAUUUUUCUAUCUUAGUUUGCGGUAAUUAAAACUAUAGGAGGUAAAACUAAAAACUAUCAACGGUAAAGACCAUUUAAAAAAAUGAUUCAGACGAAAUUCCUUUCUUGAACAAAGGAAUUGCCAGUUUCAGAUUAAGAGGUAUUAAAUAAGUUUUUUAAAAGUCAACUUAGAAUUCUAAAUUUGGAUUUUCAACAAUUGUUAAUUGAGCUACGAUAUGAUUACCGCCGAUGCUUCAUUAUCUCGUCUUAUUUUCCAUGCACGAAUACAAUAUUAAAAGGAGUAAUGUAAUUCUUGGAAUUGUGUAAGCCAUUUUAAGAGUCAUUAAAUAUUUUCUAAUUUUAAUUACAUUUUCCUAAGAAUAUCGCUGAAUAUUUUCAAGAAAGUGUACAAAUAGAAAAUUCUCAAAUUUUACCAUUUUUAGCUGCAGGCAUUACAAUUGAGAUUGUAAACGUCGACUGUUCACACGUGCGGUGUCCUAUAAACUUCAACUUCCAAGUUGAAGAAUUUUCUUAUUUAAUACUAGUGAUUAAGUCAAUGACC
Molecule: long non-coding RNA, 1631 nt
Organism: Argiope bruennichi
Lineage: Eukaryota; Metazoa; Arthropoda; Arachnida; Araneae; Araneidae
Exons: 3
Source: RefSeq, a predicted model, not a curated record